This 459-nucleotide ribosomal RNA is filed under the name uncultured bacterium. RNAcentral describes it as "partial 16S ribosomal RNA". It matches the Rfam family "Bacterial small subunit ribosomal RNA", at positions 339 to 795 of the family's 1533-position model. The record is from RNAcentral.
CUACGGGCUGCUGCAGUAAGGAAUAUUGCGCAAUGGAGGCAACUCUGACGCAGCCAUGCCGCGUGCAGGAAGAAGGCCUUAUGGGUCGUAAACUGCUUUUAUUUAGGAAUAAACCCCCGAACGUGUUCGGGGCUGAAGGUACUAAACGAAUAAGCACCGGCUAACUCCGUGCCAGCAGCCGCGGUAAUACGGAGGGUGCAAGCGUUAUCCGGAUUUAUUGGGUUUAAAGGGUGCGCAGGCGGGCUAUUAAGUCAGUGGUGAAAUCCCGGGGCUCAACUCCGGAACUGCCACUGAUACUGAUAGUCUUGAGUUUGGUUGAAGUGGGCGGAAUGUAGCAUGUAGCGGCGAAAUGCAUAGAUAUGCUACAGAACACCAAUCGCGAAGGCAGCUCACUAAGACAAAACUGACGCUCAUGCACGAAAGCGUGGGGAUCAAACAGGAUUAGAUACCCGAGUAGUC